Molecule: long non-coding RNA, 1659 nt
Organism: Etheostoma cragini (Arkansas darter)
Lineage: Eukaryota; Metazoa; Chordata; Actinopteri; Perciformes; Percidae
Exons: 2
Source: RefSeq, a predicted model, not a curated record
UGGUGUCGAGUAACCAAAGGUCAAAGUAAAGACAAGUGAAUGAAAACGGAAGGAAACUUAAAAGGCUGCACUUAAUGGGGACAGAACAUCACCAAAUCCACUCAAACUUCAACCAAAUCAUUGCAGUGGAUGUCGAAUAAUCGUUUUAUUCGCCGGAAAAAAGCAAGACCGCAGAUAAUAUGACACUGGGAUCUGGAUUCACUGCAGACAUCAUCUACAGUGGGAGUCCGUGUGUUACCUUCGUCAGAUGGCCAUUUUCUUUCUAUACUGUUUCCUGCCCUUACGGAGUUACACCCACUGUAGAAGCCAGCACAGUUUUUAGCAUGCUUGAUAAGAAUAAUUUAAGAUGAGGGAGGGCCUUCAACUGUUCAACUGCUGACUGGAUUUUCCAUUACUUCAACAUUGUGACUUUGUCUCUGGCUGGCCACAUUGUCAUCUGUGACUGAGGUUACAGAUGCACAAGGUAGUUUGGGGCUGUAAACAUCCCCGACUGGAAGCUGUCUAUCUGCAGAGCUUUCAGUCUGAUGUUUGCUGCUGCCGACUGUCCAGCUCCACAGAAAUGGAAGAGAUAGGUAUAUGUGCCAUGUCCAAUCAUCUGACCUGCUACUUUAAAAUGCAAACAAAAUUGUGUGGUAAAGUUGUAUUGGUGCUGGGCGAUAUGAAAAAAAUAAAAUAUUACAAUAUUUUUGACCAAAUACAUUGAUGUCGAUAUUGUAGGGUUGACUAUUGGUGCUUUCACAACAUAUUGACACAAUGAGAGUUUUGAUAAAUAAUCACCAAUUGUGAGUAUACAAUGACAAAUUGGGUAAAGUCAAAUUCUAAAGCUAGUAAGGCUGGUAAGUUCAAAAAAUUACAUCACUUUACUGAAAUGCAGCCUGUAAAACCAGAAAAAGACGUGUCAUAUCACAACAUCCAAAAUUUUAGACGAUAUCUAGCCUCGUAUAUCGAUGUUGAUAUAUUAUCAAUAUAUUGCCCAGCCCUAAGUUGUAUUACUAAUAAUAGUAGUUAGUGAUUUAGCCCUGUAGGCCCUGUUUGAACCGUAACUUUGUGUUUCGAUGGCUUAUAUCCUUCGUUGUUCAGACCUCGUUCGUGUAAACAUCCUACACUCAGCUGUGAUCAAGUGCAGCAGAGGCUGAGAGAAGGUUGUUUACUUGAACUGGCUGGAAGUGACUCUUUGACAUGGAGCAAGCUGAGCGGAAGGGCGUCCACUUUAAGAUGAGCUGCAGUUCAGCUCCCAUCAGACUUCCUGUUCCUGCUGUUGCGCUGACCUCUUAAACAGAGUUCUGUAACUGAGCAGUCUCAUUUUUGGAUUCAUACAUUAAUCAGCAAGAGUAGGUGGGUUAGUGCGAAAAAGAGGAUUUUAAUUCCUACCAGCAUUGUGUGGGUUACUCCAGUGCAACACCUUGGCCUGGUUGUUGAUGUAGAUUUGGUGUGCUGCUGGAUUACAGACAAUACCUAAAGGCUUGUCAACUUCACUACCUUACUUGUUAAUGGGAUGUUGAUGUCAUGGGCAGAUAUUUGAUUUAAUUUAUUUAAGUGGUUUGCCGUUUUAAGACAUUGUGUAUUAGCCAAUUUAACAUUUCAUGUUUUGUACCCAUGUAAUUAACUUGAAAAAUGUUGGAAUUAGUAAAAGUGACAUGGAAAGUCAAAACAUAUCCU